RNAcentral lists this ribosomal RNA (754 nucleotides) under uncultured methane-oxidizing archaeon. Its description in RNAcentral is "bacterial SSU rRNA". It matches the Rfam family "Archaeal small subunit ribosomal RNA", at positions 105 to 859 of the family's 1478-position model. The record is from RNAcentral.
CAACUUACCCUCUGGACUGGCAUAACCCCGGGAAACUGGGGAUAAUUCCAGAUAGACCAGAGUUGCUGGAAUGCUCUUUGGUUAAAAGUUUUUAACGCCAUAGGAUGGGUCUGCGGUCUAUCAGGUUGUAGUGGGUGUAACGUACCUACUAGCCGACUACGGAUACGGGUUGUGAGAGCAAGAGCCCGGAGAUGGAUUCUGAGACACGAAUCCAGGCCCUACGGGGUGCAGCAGGCGCGAACACUUUACAAUGCGGGAAACCGCGAUAAGGGAACCCCGAGUGCCAGUACUAAGUGCUGGCUGUCUAGAUGAAUAAAUCUCAUUUAAUAGCAAGGGCCGGGCAAGACCGGUGCCAGCCGCCGCGGUAACACCGGCGGCCCGAGUGGUAACCGAUUUUAUUGGGUCUAAAGGGUCCGUAGCCGGUUUGAUAAGUCCUUUGGGAAAUCUGGUAGCUUAACUAUCAGGCUUCUAAGGGAUACUGUCAGGCUUGGGACCGGGAGAGGUAAGGGGUACUCCAGGGGUAGGAGUGAAAUCUUGUAAUCCCUGGGGGACCAUCUGUGGCGAAGGCGCCUUACCAGAACGGGUCCGACGGUGAGGGACGAAAGCUAGGGGAGCAAACCGGAUUAGAUACCCGGGUAGUCCUAGCUGUAAACGAUGCUCGCUAGGUGUCAGGCACGGUGCGACCGUGUCUGGUGCCGCAGGGAAGCCGCUAAGCGAGCCACCUGGGAAGUACGGUCGCAAGGCUGAAACUUAA